RNAcentral lists this ribosomal RNA (387 nucleotides) under Salmonella enterica. Its description in RNAcentral is "bacterial SSU rRNA". It matches the Rfam family "Bacterial small subunit ribosomal RNA", at positions 716 to 1102 of the family's 1533-position model. RNAcentral also lists the same sequence under 1 other name. Lineage: Bacteria; Pseudomonadati; Pseudomonadota; Gammaproteobacteria; Enterobacterales; Enterobacteriaceae. The record is from RNAcentral.
CGAAGGCGGCCCCCUGGACAAAGACUGACGCUCAGGUGCGAAAGCGUGGGGAGCAAACAGGAUUAGAUACCCUGGUAGUCCACGCCGUAAACGAUGUCUACUUGGAGGUUGUGCCCUUGAGGCGUGGCUUCCGGAGCUAACGCGUUAAGUAGACCGCCUGGGGAGUACGGCCGCAAGGUUAAAACUCAAAUGAAUUGACGGGGGCCCGCACAAGCGGUGGAGCAUGUGGUUUAAUUCGAUGCAACGCGAAGAACCUUACCUGGUCUUGACAUCCACAGAACUUUCCAGAGAUGGAUUGGUGCCUUCGGGAACUGUGAGACAGGUGCUGCAUGGCUGUCGUCAGCUCGUGUUGUGAAAUGUUGGGUUAAGUCCCGCAACGAGCGCAAC